AAGGAAUGACGCCAUAGAAUGCAAAUUGUCGGUGCUCAUCUUUUAAUUUCAGCAGUCUGGGUGCUGGGGGACUCAGGCAAUAAAGAUUGGCACAGAAGUAGCACUGUCCCCGCAUGGCAGAGCCAUAUGGGCAAGGCUGGCAGGAGAAGGCACAGUGGGGAACAGCAAGGACCCCGAGGCAGCAGGAAACCAGAAUAUCCCACACUCACAUGUGGUCAAGAUGAUGUGAAGAAGCAAACCCCUAACCCCACCUCCAGUGCUGUGGCACUCCUAAAGCCACUGCCGAAUUUAGGGGCAACACGGGGGAAAUAUUGGGAGGAUUUAUAGAUGAGUCAUUAAAUUUCUGUCGCCCAGCAGGACAGGACACAAAAUAGAAAUCAAGCUGUUCUGUAAAAGAGUAAAGUCACAGUCCUCUACUCCUCAAUUUGUGGACUGAGAUUUGGACACACAUAGUAGAUCACAGAGCCAAGACACUAGCAGUGACGACGGGUGUCCAGGUCCAGGGGACUGAAUGACAGGACUCAGUGACCUGCCAAGGAUGAGCAAGGAGUCAGUGAGGGUCUCAGUUCCGUGGAUGUGAGAUUUUGGCCUCUAGAGAGGGGACAAUACUUCGGAACAAGAAUCACUCAUGAUAAUUUUCUAUGACCUGAGAAAAUCCCCUCAAGAGCUUUCAAUUCCAUUUGCUCUGAUUGCAGCCUCACUAAGCAACCUUCUGAUGGCUCUUAGUUUCCCAGGUAACCUGAAGAACAUUCUGGCUUAUUAUGUAUCAGUCUUUGAGAGUCUAAUUAGGGCUACCUUGAGAACCUGGUCAAAUUAGGUUGCAUCUACAAGUUCAGGGGUCUGGUGAUGCACAUCUGAGGCCCAGGCUCCAUACCUUCAACCGCAUUGAGGUUCUGCCAGUCCAGGGUUUCUGGACGCCUUUCUGAAGCCAAUUAUUAGCACUCCAGUAAGGAGGAGAUUGACUGCUGUAACCCAGCAUGUACCUCGGUGGGGAAGGAGAGGGAGAGAGCCUAUCGGAAGCACUGGAGAUGGAGUUACUGUUGAGAGUCACUGUUGUGAGCCACUCUGCUGAGCUCCAUUUUCACUUUUAGGAGUCAAUCCUGGGGACGUCCCUCUCUGGAGCCAUUUCACAGGUUUUGAUGAUAACAUUUAUUAUUGUUUGCUUCCAGGUAUUUUCAUUUUUCAUUGCAAUUUUUUCUUUGACCCAUGGUUAAUUCAGAAGUCUUUCAACUGUUGUCAAAGCAUACAUGAUUAUUUAGAAGUUACUUGUUACAAAUUUCUGCCUUUACUACAUUUUGUCAGAGAAUGAGAAACCCUGUGGUACGUUUGAGUAGGUUUGAAUCCUGAUUCUGCCUCCUGCCAUCUGUGUCAUUGUUAGCAAGUCACUGAGUCUCAGAAUCCUCACAACCAGGACAACUGGGGUCCCGGCAAGGAGACCACGUGUGGACAAACCUGUACGUUAUGCCCAGGAGCUCAACUCCGGCUGGUUUGUGCUGCAACAUCGCCGAGGACUCCACCCAACUUAUAAGCGGGACUUGCUCCAUCUGCUCCCUCUGGCCUCUCACUUGCCACUCUGGUUGCUGCCUGGGCCCCACCCGCCUGCCUUGGCUACUUCCAUUUCUGCUUGUGGACAGAGGGCAAUGCAUCCAGGAAACGUCCCAAUGUGGAAAUGCGGCUCUCACCGCCCCUGAUACAAACUAAACACAUUCUUUCCAGAAAGCCUCCCUUCCCCCUGGACACAAUGACCUAAGGGGAACAAAUAGCCAACCCAGACUCCUGGCUCCUGCGGUGACUGGCCAGAGACUCCCACAUCCUUUCCCACACCCUGUGCAGCCCACCCCCACCACCCCUCAUCCAGCAUCCUCCAGAGAGAGGGGAAGAGAGAGGAGGGGGAGCCUGGAACUUUGUAUUCCAUAUGUACAUGGGUGGAGGCAAAUCGGUGCAUCGUGGAGAGAUAGUCCCACUCCACUAGCAAAAGCCUUCCUCCAGAUAUCAGUGCAAACUCCUCAGGGCAAUCACUGGUACAAAAUCAUCUCUAGCGCAAAGUCAUAUUUCUUUUCUUCCCAUUCCCCUCAUUUUCUGAUCCCAAUUUCAUCUGCAGCUGGGAUCUAUUUAAAUUUCUAACUUCCAGGCAUAUCUAACUUUUUGUCUUUGGUGGGAAGAAGACUGACUACAUAGAAUAAUAAUCAUGAAAUAAUUUAUUUCUUAAAAUAAAUUUUAAAAAUAAAAAUAAAAAUUAUUAAUAGUAAGAA
Homo sapiens (human) is the source of this 2252-nucleotide long non-coding RNA. RefSeq lists it as uncharacterized. The transcript is spliced from 2 exons. The record is from RefSeq and is a predicted model, not a curated record. Lineage: Eukaryota; Metazoa; Chordata; Mammalia; Primates; Hominidae.